GAUGAACGCUAGCGAUAGGCCUAACACAUGCAAGUCGAGGGGCAUCACAUGAAGUAGCAAUACGGAUGGUGGCGACCGGCGCACGGGUGAGUAACACGUAUGCAACCUGCCUUCAACAAGGGGAUAACCCGUUGAAAGACGGACUAAUACCCUAUAACACAGGGGUCCCGCAUGGGAAUAUUUGUUAAAGGACAACCGGUUGAAGAUGGGCAUGCGUUCCAUUAGCUAGUUGGCGGGGUAACGGCCCACCAAGGCAACGAUGGAUAGGGGAACUGAGAGGUUUAUCCCCCACACUGGUACUGAGACACGGACCAGACUCCUACGGGAGGCAGCAGUGAGGAAUAUUGGUCAAUGGACGCAAGUCUGAACCAGCCACGUCGCGUGAAGGAAGACGGCCCUACGGGUUGUAAACUUCUUUUGCAAGGGAAUAAAGUGGGCCACGUGUGGCCUUUUGCAAGUACCUUGCGAAUAAGGAUCGGCUAACUCCGUGCCAGCAGCCGCGGUAAUUACGC
RNAcentral lists this ribosomal RNA (512 nucleotides) under uncultured bacterium. RNAcentral's name for it is "bacterial SSU rRNA". It matches the Rfam family "Bacterial small subunit ribosomal RNA", at positions 28 to 528 of the family's 1533-position model. The record is from RNAcentral.